GUCUCGGUGGUGUAGUGGCAGCACGCGUCCUUGGUGUGGAUGGAACGCGGGUCCAAUUCCCGUCUGAGAUC
Non-coding RNA from Parelaphostrongylus tenuis, 71 nucleotides. Lineage: Eukaryota; Metazoa; Nematoda; Chromadorea; Rhabditida; Metastrongylidae. The record is from the annotation of a GenBank genome assembly.